AUGAACGCUGGCGGCGUGCCUCAUACAUGCAAGCCGGGCGAACGGACGAGAAGCUUGCUUCUCUGAUGUUAGCGGCGGACGGGUGAGUAACACGUGGAUAACCUACCUAUAAGACUGGGAUAACUUCGGGAAACCGGAGCUAAUACCGGAUAAUAUUUUGAACCGCAUGGUUCAAAAGUGAAAGACGGUCUUGCUGUCACUUAUAGAUGGAUCCGCGCUGCAUUAGCUAGUUGGUAAGGUAACGGCUUACCAAGGCAACGAUGCAUAGCCGACCUGAGAGGGUGAUCGGCCACACUGGAACUGAGACACGGUCCAGACUCCUACGGGAGGCAGCAGUAGGGAAUCUUCCGCAACGGGCGAAAGCCUGACGGAGCAACGCCGCGUGAGUGAUGAAGGUCUUCGGAUCGUAAAACUCUGUUAUUAGGGAAGAACAUAUGUGUAAGUAACUGUGCACAUCUUGACGGUACCUAAUCAGAAAGCCACGGCUAACUACGUG
This 496-nucleotide ribosomal RNA is filed under the name uncultured bacterium. RNAcentral describes it as "partial 16S ribosomal RNA". It matches the Rfam family "Bacterial small subunit ribosomal RNA", at positions 29 to 507 of the family's 1533-position model. The record is from RNAcentral.